This 29-nucleotide non-coding RNA is filed under the name Mus musculus (house mouse). The record is from RNAcentral. Lineage: Eukaryota; Metazoa; Chordata; Mammalia; Rodentia; Muridae.
UGAUAGGCCCAGGUCUUGGAUUCUGCCCC